Molecule: unclassified non-coding RNA, 284 nt
Filed under: Hevea brasiliensis (rubber tree)
Lineage: Eukaryota; Viridiplantae; Streptophyta; Magnoliopsida; Malpighiales; Euphorbiaceae
Source: RNAcentral
GCCUAUAUGAAAUGAGUGCAACAGUUACUUUAUUAGAAGUGAAUGCACUACUCUUAACAAAAUUGACCAAGUACUUGAACCAUACCAUUUUACAUUCUUGCAAUUGUGUGAACUUUUUCUCAAUAUUUUAUUUUAUGCAUCUCUAACAAGAAUACAUUGCACAUUUUUAAUCAAAGUUUGUUUACUGGCAUGUGAGUGGUUUUCUGGCUUUGAAAUCUUAAAUAUACUUUUGCUAGAAAAGAUGAAAAUAGGCGGCUGAAUGGCUGAAACAUUGAUUAAAUCAU